GAUGAACGCUGGCGGCGUGCCUAAUACAUGCAAGUCGAACGAAGAUGUCUUCGGACAUCUUAGUGGCGAACGGGUGAGUAAUACGUAAGCAACCUGCCCACAAGGACCGGGAUAACUGCUGGAAACGGUAGCUAAGACCGGAUAGGUAUACUGAAGGCAUCUUUGGUAUAUUAAAGGUUAGAAACACAAGUGGAUGGGCUUACGGCGCAUUAGCUAGUUGGUGAGGUAACGGCCCACCAAGGCGAUGAUGCGUAGCCGGCCUGAGAGGGUGAACGGCCACAUUGGGACUGAGACACGGCCCAGACUCCUACGGGAGGCAGCAGUAGGGAAUUUUCGGCAAUGGGCGCAAGCCUGACCGAGCAACGCCGCGUGAGUGAAGACGG
Molecule: ribosomal RNA, 383 nt
Filed under: uncultured bacterium
Lineage: Bacteria
Description: bacterial SSU rRNA
Rfam family: Bacterial small subunit ribosomal RNA
Source: RNAcentral